GGAUGGUGAGUAGUAUGGUGGUGGUGGUGAGCUGUAAACAUACGGUGGUGGAGGAGAUUUGUAGUCUACCUUAGGGGAUGGAGAGUAGUACGGUGGUGGUGGAGAACUGUAGACGUAUGGGGGAGGAGAAGACUUGUAUACAACUUUGGGAGAUGGAGAAUAGUAAGGUGGUGGUGGGGAGCUGUAGACAUAUGGUGGAGGAGAAGAUUUGUAUACAACCUUAGGGGAUGGAGAAUAACAUGGAGGUGGUGGUGGACAUACACAUACAUGAGGGUGUGGUGGAGAUUUGUAUACAACUUUAGGGGAUGGUGAGUAGUACGGUGGUGGUGGAGAGUUGUAAACAUAUGGUGGUGGAGGAGACUUGUAGUGCACUUUUGGUGAAGGUGAGUAGUAUGGUGCUGGUGGGGAGCUGUAAACAUAUGGUGGUGGAGGAGACUUGUAGUGUACUUUAGGAGAAGGUGAGUAGUACGGUGGUGGUGGAGAACUGUAUACAUAUGGUGGGGGAGGAGAUUUGUAGUCAACUUUAGGGGAUGGUGAGUAGUAUGGUGGUGGUGGAGAACUGUAAACAUACGGUGGUGGAGGAGACUUGUAGUCCACCUUUGGAGAUGGAGAGUAGUAUGGUGGUGGUGGGGAGCUGUAAACAUAUGGUGGUGGAGGAGACUUGUAGUCUACCUUAGGGGCUGGAGAGUAGUAUGGUGGUGGUGGAGAAUUGUAAACAUACGGUGGUGGAGGAGAUUUGUAGUGUACUUUAGGGGAUGGAGAGUAGUAAGGUGGUGGUGGGGAGCUGUAGACAUAUGGUGGAGGAGAAGAUUUGUAUACAACCUUAGGGGAUGGAGAAUAACAUGGAGGUGGUGGUGGACAUACACAUACAUGAGGGUGUGGUGGAGAUUUGUAUACAACUUUAGGGGAU
Molecule: long non-coding RNA, 910 nt
Filed under: Capsella rubella
Lineage: Eukaryota; Viridiplantae; Streptophyta; Magnoliopsida; Brassicales; Brassicaceae
Description: long non-coding RNA (CRUB_LNC000933)
Source: RNAcentral